AGAAGUUGCCAGGUCUAAGAAGCCUGAUUAAAAUCUCUAGAUAGUAAGAGAGAACCUCAUAAGGGUUCAUUUUCCAUCUCGAAUCUAUUCGCAAGUUUUGAGAUUAGCUACCUCAGAAUUUAGUGAACGUUGAUAACGUUGUAUGUCUGGAAAACAUACUAAAUAAUCUCCU
The submitters of this non-coding RNA (172 nucleotides) gave its source as unclassified sequences. The record is from Rfam.